This 286-nucleotide ribosomal RNA is filed under the name uncultured bacterium. Its description in RNAcentral is "partial 16S ribosomal RNA". It matches the Rfam family "Bacterial small subunit ribosomal RNA", at positions 29 to 301 of the family's 1533-position model. The record is from RNAcentral.
AACGAACGUUAGCGGCGCGCCUAACACAUGCAAGUCGCACGAGAAAGGGCUUCGGCCCCGGUAAAGUGGCGCACGGGUGAGUAACACGUAGGUAAUCUCCCCUCGAGUAGGGGAUAACUCUCCGAAAGGAGAGCUAAUACCGCAUAAGACACGGUUCCUUCGGUUCUGUGGCCAAAGCGGGCCGUCUUCACGAAAGCUCGCACUUGAGGAUGAGCCUGCGGCCCAUCAGGCAGUUGGCGGGGUAAUGGCCCACCAAACCUAAGACGGGUAGCUGGUCUGAGAGGAU